Molecule: non-coding RNA, 178 nt
Filed under: Salmo salar (Atlantic salmon)
Lineage: Eukaryota; Metazoa; Chordata; Actinopteri; Salmoniformes; Salmonidae
Description: Eukaryotic large subunit ribosomal RNA
Rfam family: Eukaryotic large subunit ribosomal RNA
Source: Rfam by way of RNAcentral
UGCGGUAACGCGACUGACCCCGGAGAAACUGGCGGGAGCCCCGGGGAGAGUUAUUUUCUUUGUGAAGGGCAGAGCGGCCUGGAAUGGGUUCGCCCCGGGAGAGGGGCCCAAGCCCUGGAAAGCUUUGCGGUUUCGGCGGCGUCCGGUGAGCUCUCCCUGGCCCUUGAAAAUCUGGGGG